Epinephelus fuscoguttatus (brown-marbled grouper) is the source of this 3539-nucleotide RNA transcript. It is a transcript of the gene named CUGBP Elav-like family member 3, with no coding region annotated. The transcript has 16 exons. The record is from RefSeq and is a predicted model, not a curated record. Lineage: Eukaryota; Metazoa; Chordata; Actinopteri; Perciformes; Serranidae.
UCGUAUUGUUGAUUUGAAGACGGUGCGCAUAUCGAUGAGGGUAACGAGUGGAGGUGUAACGGCUAUUGAGCGAGUUAGGGGCAGUUUAAUUUAUUUUUUCGUGUGAAAGAGUCGGCCAUAUUUAUCGACGGUCCCUGGCAGUUACGUCACAAGCUAGCAACCGCUUCGGUCAGAAGAGGGGGGAGGGAGAGAAAGAGAGUAGAGGAGAUACCGGCAUAGGACGUGAAAAGCCAUCCAACCGUUGGUCGGGUGAGACGCAACAAGAAAACAGAAAUUAGCAAGAAUAGUAAGUAAGAUUAGCCUCCAUUACCGGAUGGAACAGUAACGGCAAGGUUGGGAAAAACUCUCACGCGACCAAGCGAGUUUAAACUGUUGGAUGUUACCCGAGCUGAAGCGGUUUGUUAGCGUGUUAUCACUUUGUAAUUAAAUCCAAAUUAAGAGUUGGGCUUCGGGUGGUGGAAGUGAAACUAGCUAGCAACGUCCACUGUGGAUUUAAAGAACCGAGACGUUGGUUGAAUUUCAGCGGGACGGGUGACAAGCUGUGAUUCAGACUCACCUGCUAGGACUCUCCUCCGCCACCUCUAGACCUCCACACCGGGGGUAAAAACCACAACCGAGCCUCUUGUAUCUGUACACCGAGGAGAAGGCGGAGGAGGAGGAGGAGGUGGAGAGGGAGAGCACGGCUGGCACAAAGAGCGGAGAGCAUCCAGAGAGAGGGGAGGAAGGAGGACGGGACGGAGAGAGCGCGGUGAGGACAACAACGGGGACCCAACAGAGAGCAUCCCUCUUUAACACCCCGUCUGCACAGGCAACACUCCGCACAUAAGCAUCAUCUGAAAACGGGAUCCUGCGCGCUGUUUAUCUUCCAAAAGGGAUACCUGCUCCUGAUCUGUUUGCCCCUCAGCCCCUGCAGUACCCAGUCCUCCUCUCCACUCUGUCCUGAUGAAGGAGGCCGACGCCAUCAAGCUGUUCGUGGGGCAGAUUCCCCGGAAUCUGGAAGAGAAGGACCUCAAGCCUAUCUUCGAGCAGUUUGGCAAGAUCUAUGAGCUAACUGUGAUUAAGGACAAAUACACUGGCAUGCACAAAGGAUGUGCGUUUCUGACGUACUGUGCGAGAGAGUCGGCACUGAAAGCCCAGAGUGCUCUACACGAGCAGAAAACACUACCAGGGAUGAAUCGGCCAAUCCAGGUGAAACCAGCUGACAGUGAGGGCAGAGGAGGUCUCUCAGAGGACAGGAAGUUGUUUGUGGGCAUGCUGGGGAAGCAACAGAGCGACGAGGACGUCAGACGACUGUUUGAGCCCUUUGGCAGCAUAGACGAGUGUACUGUGUUGAGAGGACCCGACGGCACCAGCAAAGGGUGCGCUUUUGUAAAAUUCCAAGGACAUGCUGAAGCCCAGGCUGCCAUCAACAGCUUGCAUGGAAGCCGCACAAUGCCUGGCGCGUCGUCCAGUCUGGUGGUGAAGUUUGCCGACACAGAGAAGGAGCGGGGGCUGCGGAGGAUGCAGCAGGUGGCCUCCCAGCUCGGCAUCUUCAGCCCCAUGACCCUCAACUUCCCCGCCUACAACGCCUACACGCAGGCAGUCAAUGCACAGCUUGUCCAACAGCAGGCCCUGGUUGCCCAGUCAGCGUACUUGUCUCCUGUGGCAACAGUUGCCGCCGUACAGAUGCAGCAGAUGGCGGCGCUCAAUGCCAACGGAAUCAUUGCCACACCCAUUACACCCAUCACGCCGUCCUCGGGUACAAACACUCCGCCAACUAUCGCAGCGACGCCUGUGCCAGCCCUCCCUCCGCCCCUAGGAGUGAACGGUUACAGCAGUCUGCCAGCCCCCACCAAUGGACAACAAGCAACAGAAGCACUAUACACCAAUGGCGUUCACCCAUAUCAAGCUCAGAGUCCGGCAGCAGCUCUGGACCCCCUACAGCAGGCGUAUGCUGGCAUGCAGCACUACACAGCGGCAUACCCUGCUGCCUACGGAUUGGUUGGGCAGCCGUUCCCCCAGCAGCCAACACUGGUUGCCCAGCAACACCAGCAGCCCCAGCAACAGCAGCAGAGAGAAGGUCCAGAGGGCUGUAACAUCUUCAUCUACCACCUGCCUCAGGAGUUCAGUGACUCUGAGAUGCUGCAGAUGUUCCUGCCCUUUGGCAAUGUCAUCUCGGCUAAGGUGUUUGUCGACCGUGCCACCAACCAGAGCAAAUGCUUCGGAUUUGUGAGUUUUGACAACCCAGCCAGCGCUCAGGCCGCCAUCCAGGCCAUGAACGGCUUCCAGAUCGGCAUGAAAAGACUGAAAGUGCAGCUCAAAAGGCCCAAAGACGCCAACCGCCCAUACUGAGUGACAGCUGAGACGAAGGAGAAGAACUAAAGAGAGAUCCUCCCGUCCAAUCAUAAUUCACGAGGACCCCAUCGCUAUGGCAAUGGUUGCCUAGUGACCGAUAAAGCCCCGACCCCCCCUUCCUCUCGCAUUGUUGUGACCUUUCAGAGUCCAGCCGAGGUGGAAUCCCAGGGUUCAUAGUGCUUUCAGACUGUCUGCUACCUUUGAGCGUCCGGGGAGUGCAGCCACACACACAUACACACACUCACACAAUACACAUGCACUCUCAACACUGAACCUCAAACGGUACAAGGCUGAUAUACAAAUGUACAUAAAGUGCACAGAUACACACACACACACACACACACACGCCUGCAGACACUCACACACGGUUCACACGAGUCAGUAAUCUUACCCAUACGGCCGAGAGCUUGGUUUGACCACGGUCUGUGUGUCGCCAACAGGGUGUUUAGUUCAGUUAAGACAACUCAGACCGAGCAUGUAUGGAAGGUACUGAUGAAAAAUGCUGAUAUAUCACUUCAAUAGACUUUAACGUGUCUAUACCAUGUCUAUUCCAUGACAAAUAUAGAGGGGCCGAUGUUUCAUAAUAAAAAAAAGGUGAGAAAAUACAAAAAAGACGACUAAAUGAGUAGGUUAGAGAGACUUUGGAGAAAAUCCUAAUGACCUGUAAAUAAUUUAGUUUACAAAGAGCAGCAUUUAAAAAACAAGAAAAAAUGCAAAAAGAAUACUACUUUAGAUAAACACUGAACAGGACACAGCGACAUUAUUAUUAUUAUUAUUAUUAUGAUUAUUAUUAUUACCACUAGUAACAUCAUGAUCCUCAUAAAGGGAUAUUACAUUCCAAAUUGUAAAAUGGGAAAUCACUAACCUAUUUUAAAUUUCUACUUAGAUUUUAGGUGAAGCUCGGGGGAGGGGGGGAUUGCACUUUUAUUCGGGAGGUUUUAAUAUUUGAGCUAUUUUUUAUUUAUUUACUAAUUUAUCAAUUAUUUUGUUUAUCGGGAGAAGGGGUUUGAGUGGGUUGCAAUAUUUUGAUUUUAGAAUUUUCUAGAGCAAAAACCUUUUGAGGGCCUGUUUCUGUCAGACUCUUGCAAUCGAGUAAUUAUAAUGUAUGUAUUAAUUAUUACAGCAAUUAUAUUUAUUUCUAAUUUAUUGAAUCCUGUUUUUGAUCCACUCUCUUUUUAAGUUAAAAUAAAAAGUAUCAUACUAAA